Molecule: ribosomal RNA, 236 nt
Filed under: uncultured bacterium
Lineage: Bacteria
Description: partial 16S ribosomal RNA
Rfam family: Bacterial small subunit ribosomal RNA
Source: RNAcentral
GAGCAUGGCUCAGGACGAACGCUGGCGGCGUGCUUAACACAUGCAAGUCGAACGAGAAUCUAAUGACGGAGUUUUCGGACAACUGAUUUAGAGGACAGUGGCGGACUGGUGAGUAACGCGUGAGGAACCUGCCUUUCAGGGGGGACAACAGUUGGAAACGACUGCUAAUACCGCAUGAUGUGUAGCUGGACAUCCCGGAUACACCAAAGAUUUAUCGCUGAAAGAUGGCCCCGCGU